This 466-nucleotide ribosomal RNA is filed under the name uncultured bacterium. RNAcentral's name for it is "partial 16S ribosomal RNA". It matches the Rfam family "Bacterial small subunit ribosomal RNA", at positions 28 to 507 of the family's 1533-position model. The record is from RNAcentral.
GAUGAACGCUGGCGGCGUGCUUAACACAUGCAAGUCGAACGAUGAAGCCCAGCUUGCUGGGUGGAUUAGUGGCGAACGGGUGAGUAACACGUGAGUAACCUGCCCUUAACUCUGGGAUAAGCCUGGGAAACUGGGUCUAAUACCGGAUAGGAGCGUCCACCGCAUGGUGGGUGUUGGAAAGAUUUAUCGGUUUUGGAUGGACUCGCGGCCUAUCAGCUUGUUGGUGAGGUAAUGGCUCACCAAGGCGACGACGGGUAGCCGGCCUGAGAGGGUGACCGGCGACACGGGGACUAAGACACGGCCCAGACGCCUACGGGAGGCAGCAGGGGGGAAUAUUGCACAAUGGGCGCGAGCCUGAUGCAGCGACGCCGCGUGAGGGAUGACGGCCUUCGGGUUGUAAACCUCUGUCAGUAGGGAAGAAGCGAAAGUGACGGUACCUGCAGAAGAAGCACCGGCUAACUACGUG